This 565-nucleotide ribosomal RNA is filed under the name uncultured Lachnospiraceae bacterium. Its description in RNAcentral is "bacterial SSU rRNA". It matches the Rfam family "Bacterial small subunit ribosomal RNA", at positions 48 to 633 of the family's 1533-position model. Lineage: Bacteria; Bacillati; Bacillota; Clostridia; Lachnospirales; Lachnospiraceae. The record is from RNAcentral.
CGGGAAACAUUUUAUUGAAGCUUCGGCAGAUUUAGCUUGUUUCUAGUGGCGGACGGGUGAGUAACGCGUGGGUAACCUGCCUUAUACUGGGGGAUAACAGCCAGAAAUGACUGCUAAUACCGCAUAAGCGCACAGAACCGCAUGGUUCAGUGUGAAAAACUCCGGUGGUAUAAGAUGGACCCGCGUUGGAUUAGCUAGUUGGCAGGGCAGCGGCCUACCAAGGCGACGAUCCAUAGCCGGCCUGAGAGGGUGAACGGCCACAUUGGGACUGAGACACGGCCCAGACUCCUACGGGAGGCAGCAGUGGGGAAUAUUGCACAAUGGGGGAAACCCUGAUGCAGCGACGCCGCGUGAAGGAAGAAGUAUCUCGGUAUGUAAACUUCUAUCAGCAGGGAAGAUAAUGACGGUACCUGACUAAGAAGCCCCGGCUAACUACGUGCCAGCAGCCGCGGUAAUACGUAGGGGGCAAGCGUUAUCCGGAUUUACUGGGUGUAAAGGGAGCGUAGACGGCGCAGCAAGUCUGAUGUGAAAGGCAGGGGCUUAACCCCUGGACUGCAUUGGAAAC